UGGCGGAGAACUCACCUUGGUCGGAAAUGGGGAAAAAACUCGCCUGUUUUCGGCUAAGGGACCCUUUUAUAGUGGCUGGCCAGGCCACGUUCGGGGGCCGAACGUGCCUCCGCAUGCAUGCCAUGUUCGGCGGCCGAACUUGAGGUUCGGCGGCCGAACCUGGACUUUCCUCACUUAUGCUUUCGGGGGCCUAAAGGCGCUCCCGAAGGCAUGCAUGUUCGGCGGCCGAACUUGAGAUUCGGCGGCCGAACCUGAGUUUUCCUUCAAGGUUGUUUUAAUGCAAAAAAACUCAUUUCCAUUUUACUUAAAACCAUGAAAUACCUUAAAACAUUUUAUGAAAACAUGAUUCUACCCUACUAGAGGCUUCCGACAUCCGAGAUUCCACCGGACGGUAGGAAUUUCGAUACCGGAGUCUAGCCGGGUAUUACAUUCUCCCCCCCUUAAGAACAUUCGUCCCCGAAUGUUCCUCAACUAGCACAUAGCAUGGCAUAAAACAUAACAUACAUACAUAACACAUAAACACAUAGAGAUCUAACCUUAAAAGAGAUGAGGGUAUUGCUGGAGCAUAGACUCCCGUGUCUCCCAAGUGCAUUCCUCCAAAUUGUGGUGGUUCCACAGGACUUUCAGCAUCGGGAUUUCCUUGUUCCUUAACUU
This 654-nucleotide long non-coding RNA is filed under the name Manihot esculenta (cassava). RNAcentral's name for it is "long non-coding RNA (MESC_LNC002076)". Lineage: Eukaryota; Viridiplantae; Streptophyta; Magnoliopsida; Malpighiales; Euphorbiaceae. The record is from RNAcentral.